GACGAACGCUGGCGGCGUGCUUAACACAUGCAAGUCGAACGGAAAGGCCCUGCUUUUGUGGGGUGCUCGAGUGGCGAACGGGUGAGUAACACGUGAGUAACCUGCCCUUGACUUUGGGAUAACUUCAGGAAACUGGGGCUAAUACCGGAUAGGAGCUCCUGCUGCAUGGUGGGGGUUGGAAAGUUUCGGCGGUUGGGGAUGGACUCGCGGCUUAUCAGCUUGUUGGUGGGGUAGUGGCUUACCAAGGCUUUGACGGGUAGCCGGCCUGAGAGGGUGACCGGCCACAUUGGGCCUGAGAUACGGCCCAGACUCCUACGGGCGGCAGCAGUGGGGAAUAUUGCACAAUGGGCGGAAGCCUGAUGCAGCAACGCCGCGUGCGGGAUGACGGCCUUCGGGUUGUAAACCACUUUCGCCUGUGACGAAGCGUGAGUGACGGUAAUGGGUAAAGAAGCACCGGCUAACUACGUG
RNAcentral lists this ribosomal RNA (468 nucleotides) under uncultured bacterium. RNAcentral's name for it is "partial 16S ribosomal RNA". It matches the Rfam family "Bacterial small subunit ribosomal RNA", at positions 28 to 507 of the family's 1533-position model. The record is from RNAcentral.